CCUACGGGGGGCAGCAGUGGGGAAUAUUGCACAAUGGGGGAAACCCUGAUGCAGCGACGCCGCGUGAGUGAAGAAGUAUUUCGGUAUGUAAAGCUCUAUCAGCAGGGAAGAAAGAAAGUCCUUCGGACUGUGGACGGGACCGGACUAAGAAGCCCCGGCGAACGCCGUGCCAGCAGCCGCGGUAAUACGUAGGGGGCAAGCGUUCUCCGGAUUUACUGGGGGUAAAGGGAGCGUAGACGGCAGCGCAAGUCUGGAGUGAAAUCCCAUGGCUUAACCCUGGAACUGCUUUGGAAACGGUGCAGCUGGAGUGCAGGAGAGGUAAGCGGAAUUCCUAGUGUAGCGGUGACAUGCGUAGAUAUUAGGAGGAACACCAGUGGCGAAGGCGGCUUACUGGACUGUAACUGACGUUGAGGCUCGAACGCGUGGGGAGCAAACAGGAUUAGAUACCCCAGUAGUC
Molecule: ribosomal RNA, 457 nt
Filed under: uncultured bacterium
Lineage: Bacteria
Description: partial 16S ribosomal RNA
Rfam family: Bacterial small subunit ribosomal RNA
Source: RNAcentral